GACGAACGCUGGCGGCGUGCCUAAUACAUGCAAGUAGGACGCAGUUGCGAACGGGUGAGUAAAGCGUAGGUAACUACCUAUUAGAGGGGGAUAAAUAUUGGAAACGAUAGCUAAUACCGCAUACUAGUAGAUGGACCUGCGUUGUGUUAGCUAGUAGGUAGGGUAAUGGCCUACCUAGGCAACGAUACAGAGCCGACCUGAUGGGGUGAUCGGCCACACUGGGACUGAGACACGGCCCAGACUCCUACGGGAGGCAGCAGGAGGGAAGCUUUGGCAAUGGAGGAAAGUCUGACCGAGCAACGCCGCGUGAGUGAAGAAGGUUUUCGGAUCGUAAAACUCUGUUGUUAAGGAAGCGGUACUUAACCAGAAAGGGACGGCUAACUACGUGCCAGCAGCCGCGGUAAUUC
This 407-nucleotide ribosomal RNA is filed under the name uncultured bacterium. Its description in RNAcentral is "partial 16S ribosomal RNA". It matches the Rfam family "Bacterial small subunit ribosomal RNA", at positions 28 to 526 of the family's 1533-position model. The record is from RNAcentral.